GGGGGCCAAGAAACGAGAGGCCCCGGCCCCUCCCUGGGCGGGGUCCUGCGUGGCCCCACAACCUUCCCUUCUGCUUAAGGCCAAAGGGUAAACUGAGGCCGCUGUCUGGCGAGGCCCAGCAAGGUGAGAAUUGGUGUCCCUUUACAGUUGAAGAAACCAGGAAGGAGGUUGAGUAACUCUUCCAGGCCGCUUCUAAGAAUGGAGACAAGAACAUGAUCCCCAGGAAGAAGUCCAGACCUGCCAUAACCAGAGCAAAAUUAAUCUCUGGUUCAGAUCCCUCGUGCUGACUUGUGUUUUAAAGAGUGCUUAAGGACAAAAAUGGGAUAAGGAAGGCAGCUGCUGUAUUCAGUGAUGUGGUAAUGGAGAUUCCAGAAAGAACUUAUGACAAAUAUGCUAUGGAAGAUUUUUAAGAAAAGCAGCUAUGUUUUAAAGAAGAAAAGGAGGGAUAAUGGUGACGGAACUCAUCAGGUCCCUAAACCACGAGAACCUAUAAAAAUAUCCAGGCACCUCAAGCCCUAACAUCCGAAUAGUCCUACAACCCAAGCACUAUAGGAUUCAAAAGGGUCUAGAAAGAGGAGUCGGGGAGGAGGGGCCCUCAGUUUUGACAAGGCCGACAGGAGCCACAAACCAGAUGCCCCGGAGAGCUGGCUCAGUGGGACGGCCCGGCCCCACCCCGCCAGUCCCAGAGGCAAUGACAUGGACCAGCGGGUAUGGCUGAAGGACUUCCAGGACUUGGGCCGACAUACCGCAACACCCCACCCAGAGUCUCCACCAUGUACCUCAAACACGGACUGUGCAACCCCAAAUCUUCCGACUAAGAAGGCCCUUUCUGCGGCCCUCGAUUACUCGAAGCCAGGAAGACUUCGCUCAACUCCAACGCAGGCUGGCAGCGAAGGUGCGCUCUGUACUCUGGGAACUGUAGUCCUGAGAAACCCCAUACUCAGGCUGGAGCAAGUGACCUACUUUCUGUGUACACUACACUUCCCUGAAUGCUUUGCGAAGGUUCAGCCAGCUAAUUACGCAUGCCCGGUAAGGGGAGCUGGCCGAGGUCCGGGGAACCGAGGAAAAGUUUCCGAUGCACAUGCGCGCUGUGGCGGACGCCCCCCCACCCCGCCCACCGCCUAAUACAUUUUAUAUAAAUUCUA
This is a long non-coding RNA of Hyaena hyaena (striped hyena), 1145 nucleotides long. RefSeq lists it as uncharacterized. The record is from RefSeq and is a predicted model, not a curated record. NCBI's taxonomy places the organism in Eukaryota, Metazoa, Chordata, Mammalia, Carnivora, Hyaenidae. The transcript is spliced from 4 exons.